Molecule: unclassified non-coding RNA, 147 nt
Organism: Papio anubis (olive baboon)
Lineage: Eukaryota; Metazoa; Chordata; Mammalia; Primates; Cercopithecidae
Rfam family: Metazoan signal recognition particle RNA
About the family: The signal recognition particle (SRP) is a universally conserved ribonucleoprotein. It is involved in the co-translational targeting of proteins to membranes. The eukaryotic SRP consists of a 300-nucleotide 7S RNA and six proteins: SRPs 72, 68, 54, 19, 14, and 9.
Source: Ensembl
GUUGGGCAUGGUGGUGCAUGCCUGUGGUCCCAGCUACGUGGGGGCUGAGGUGGGAGGAUUGUUUGAGCCCAGGAGGUAGGGGUUGCAGUGAGCCAUGAUUGUGCCACUGGACUCCGGCCUGGGUGACAGAGUAAGAUCCCGUCUCAA